Oryctolagus cuniculus (rabbit) is the source of this 1629-nucleotide non-coding RNA. Lineage: Eukaryota; Metazoa; Chordata; Mammalia; Lagomorpha; Leporidae. The record is from RefSeq and is a predicted model, not a curated record.
CGCGCAGCCCGGCCGCGGCGCGGCGUGGGCCUCCCGGCUUUCCGUCCGCGCGCCGCCAUUGGCUGGGCCGGGCGCCGCGAGCCGGGCGCGGCGGCUUCCAGGAUGGCGGCGUCCGCGGCGCUGCUGCUGCGCGAGAGCCCCAGCAUGAAAAAAGCUGUGACUCUGAUAAAUGCAAUAGACAUAGGACGAUUUCCGCGACUGCUUACCCGAAUUCUGCAGAAACUUCACCUGAAGGCCGAGAGCAGUUUCAGCGAAGAAGAGGAAGAAAAACUUCAAGCUGCGUUUUCUCUAGAGAAACAGGAUCUUCACCUAGUUCUUGAGACAAUAGCAUUUAUUUUAGAACAGGCCGUGUAUCACAACGUGAAGCCGGCGGCUCUGCAGCAGCAGCUACAGAGCAUCCAUCUGAGCCGAGACAAAGCAGAGGCAUUCGCCAGCGCCUGGGCUGCCGUGGGCCAAGAGACGGUCGAGAAGUUCAGGCAGAGGAUCCUGGCUCCCCACAAGCUGGAGACAGUCGGAUGGCAGCUUAACCUCCAGAUGGCUCACUCCGCUCAGGCCAAACUCAAGUCUCCGCAGGCUGUGCUACAGCUGGGAGUGAGCACUGAGGAUUCCAAGAUUUAUUUAUUUUGAAUGUCAGAGCCACAGAAACAGAGAGAGAGACAGAGAGAGAUCUUCCAUGCACGGGUUCACUCUCCAUAUGGCUGGACUGGCUGGGACUGAGCCAGACAGAACCAGGAGCUUCAUCCACUUACUACAGCUUCAACUGAGCCUAGAGAAAGUUCUUGUGGAAUUCAGUCACGAAGAGCUGUUUGAUUUCUACAACAAGCUGGAGACCAUACAAGCACAGCUGGAUUCCCUUAUGUGACGUUUCUGACGCCUGCUUUCUCCAUCGCACGCCUGCCCCUCGUUAUUUCACGUUGAAACUGGAUUGCCAGGUUCUGCCUUCUGGAGGAUCCAGCAGCCUUCCUUUUGCAGUUUUAUCGCUGCUGAGACAGACAGCCGUCCAGGGAGAGCGCGGGGAGGAGCACGGGGCUCUCACAUGCGUUCUGAGCCAGCGACCGUUGUUAGGAACACCUUGGCUUUAAUUAAGCAGACAUGAAUAUCAUAUUGGUUGUUGCUUUGCUCUUGUUGCUUUAUUGCUGGCCUGUUUAUUUUUUACGUACCUGCUGACACCUUGAUGUGUCAAGGAGAUCCGGGGAUACAGAGUGCACCCCAGCAGGCAGAGCUACAGUGUCAUAGGAAUGCAACUCAGAAAGCGGACACCUGAGUCAGUCCAGCGUGCCGUCCUCCCUUGCCUGUGAUGAGUGCAUUUUGCUUGAGAAAUGACAAAGGAAGAAAUUUAUAAUAGAACUGCUGGUAUUACAUCAGUCAUUUCCAGUGUGUGUCUCCAUUGUUUUAAUUUUUUCCCUGAGUUUAAUGAUUUAAUUGUAGCUCCGGUUUUGUGUGCUUUUCUCUGUCUGCAGAUUCGUAAUGAUUCACUUAGUACUGUAGGAAACAGACUCAGAUCCUGAAUAAAAAUAAUUGUAAUGAAUGCUAAAUGGACAUCAAUUUGGUUUCCUUUUAUAUUCUUUUUCUAGAAAUAUGCUAAAUGAUUUCAGUAAAUAAAAUUUUUAUGUCAAAGAAUUAGUUGAA